Molecule: long non-coding RNA, 1063 nt
Organism: Mauremys reevesii (Reeves's turtle)
Lineage: Eukaryota; Metazoa; Chordata; Testudines; Geoemydidae
Exons: 6
Source: RefSeq, a predicted model, not a curated record
UACAGCUAUAGGACAGUGCUGCUGCUUCCGGGAGCUGCUUGAGUUGCAACUGUCUGAGGAACCAAUGGGAGGGGAGAGAAGACAGUGAAUAGAAAGCAAGAGGAAGACUGAGAAAAGCUGUGACACUGAAAAUGUCAGAAAUUUAAGAAGAGGAAGAAGCGAUUAGAACUGAAAGCUAAGUGAAGAUGACUCAGAUUUCUGCACCAACACGGCAUCUGCAUUCUUGAGUGAAUAGGAAGCAGUCAUCUGACAGACUACUUGGUGAGCCAAAUCAUGACUCAGCAAGCACUCACUGAAGUUAGUGAGAGUGCCGCCUGAACAACCUCUGCAGGUGUACACCCAACAGCUCUAUGGCAGGACUGCAAGCUCCCGCUCACACAACCAGUAUGUGGUGAAGAUCGCACUUGGUGCUGGUGUUCUGUGGAAUUAGAUUGGUUUUGCCUUAGUACAGAGGUGCACAGCAGUACUGAUGAAAGCUGAUGAAUUAAUAGCCCUGCAGACCAAUCUCUUCUGUUUAGCCAGACAACAGGUAGAGCACAAGCAAUGCCAAGGCAAGCUUUCACCUUACCAUCUGGCUAUCAAGCUUCAACCCUCACCGGCGGGAACCAACUUUAGGGGCACUGGCAUACCUUGGAGAUGCCAGAAGCUGCAUUGGUGAAGAAGAUGGUUGACACUGAAGUCCCAUGGUGUUUCCUGAUCUCUCCACUUGGAGUCAUGUGUGUGUUAAAGAAGAGUGACAAUAUUGAACUCUGAAGGCCUUCACACAGUAAGGCGGACACAUGCUCAUCGUGAUUGCCUGUGUAUGAGGUCAGACUGAAACCAGAAUAGUGCUGUUCAACCCAUUCCCCCAGCAAAAGCUUUGAGCUAAAAUAUCAAAGGGGCUGAAAGAUGGAGCAGCAGAAGCAUGGAGAUUUGACCUUUGUCCAUGGCAAGAAAUACGUUUUGAACAGGUUGCUGCAGUGGUGUGUACCAGUUCAUUUGGUGCAUUUUAAUGUGGGAUGUGUUUAGUUCAAGUCUUUGCUAAAAUGUUAUCUGUGGCUGCAGUAACAUUAGAAGAUCCUUA